This 465-nucleotide ribosomal RNA is filed under the name uncultured bacterium. RNAcentral describes it as "partial 16S ribosomal RNA". It matches the Rfam family "Bacterial small subunit ribosomal RNA", at positions 28 to 507 of the family's 1533-position model. The record is from RNAcentral.
GACGAACGCUGGCGGCGUGCUUAACACAUGCAAGUCGAACGGAAAGGCUCUGCUUGCAGGGUACUCGAGUGGCGAACGGGUGAGUAACACGUGGGUGAUCUGCCCUGCACUUCGGGAUAAGCCUGGGAAACUGGGUCUAAUACCGGAUAUGACCUUCCAUGUAGUGUGGGGGGUGGAAAGAUUUAUCGGUGUGGGAUGAGCCCGCGGCCUAUCAGCUUGUUGGUGGGGUAAUGGCCUACCAAGGCGUCGACGGGUAGCCGGCCCGAGAGGGUGGACGGCCACAUUGGGACUGAGAUACGGCCCAGACUCCUACGGGAGGCAGCAGUGGGGAAUAUUGCACAAUGGGCGGAAGCCUGAUGCAGCGACGCCGCGUGGGGGAUGACGGCCUUCGGGUUGUAAACCUCUUUCGACAGGGACGAAGCUUCGGUGACGGUACCUGUAGAAGAAGCACCGGCUAACUACGUG